GAUUUCAAGGGAGGUAGCCAGGUCACAGGUUCCCAACGAGAUUAGGAUCAAAGUAGGAGAAACCAGGAAGUUGGAAGGGGGAGUUCAGCUUAUAAACUCACCUGUAAAUAACAUUAAGGAAAAAGAAUAGACCCUGUUGCCCUUUCACUUUAAUCUCAAACUAUCAACCCCUGAAGUAGCAGCCAUCAGUCAAGGGUGAUAGAUCAACGUCAUCACUGCGCAAAGCGCUCACUUGUCAAAAUGAAAACAUCAUGUGGCUGCCCUUCACCUCCCACAGCUCAACAGCCUCCCAUUCAGUGACCUCCACCUGCAGCAUAAGAAAUCGCUAUGUAAUUAUUUAGUGGCGGGAGUGGAGGUAAGAGAAAUGGCUCCGCGGGGGGGGAGGGGGGGAGUUCAUCUCUUCAUCAUACCAUGAAUAACGUAACAGCUGAGAGGAUGACACUCGGCUUUAACUUAGCCUUAACUUAGCCUCACAUCACCGCUGCGUCACUCCUCAGGUGAGACUCCUUUCCGAAAAACACAGUGACACCUCUCGAAAACAUUUGGAAAGCGCUCCAUAUAAAGGUGAGCAAGUCGAGAU
This is a long non-coding RNA of Phyllostomus discolor (pale spear-nosed bat), 580 nucleotides long. RefSeq lists it as uncharacterized. Lineage: Eukaryota; Metazoa; Chordata; Mammalia; Chiroptera; Phyllostomidae. The transcript has 2 exons. The record is from RefSeq and is a predicted model, not a curated record.